Molecule: non-coding RNA, 4877 nt
Organism: Salmo salar (Atlantic salmon)
Lineage: Eukaryota; Metazoa; Chordata; Actinopteri; Salmoniformes; Salmonidae
Source: RefSeq, a predicted model, not a curated record
AUUGUCAAUCAGUGUUGCUUCCUAAGUGGACAGUUUGAUUUCACAGAAGUGUGAUUGACUUGGAGUUACAUUGUGUUGUUUAAGUGUUCCCUUUAUUUUUUUGAGCAGUGUAUAUACUCCACUUUAGGCACUCCUCCCUCUCUCCAAUCCUUCAGGGGAUCUGACCUGACCUCCUGACCUCAACCCCUCCUUCCCCUAAUCCACAGAUGUCCUCUCUCUUAUCACCUAUCACACUCCCGUGACUCCCUCCCGUCCACCCAGCACAUUUCAUAGCCACUCUCUCUUUCUACAGAGAACCAUUAACUUCUCACUCCUUUAUAUACUAUGCGUCUGAUCUAUCAUGUCUUUAAUAUCUCAAUGUUCAAAGUUUAGCCCGAAUCCAACACCUCGUUAAAUUAAAAAUGAACAAAUACCUCCACUACUACUACUGCUACUACUACUACUACCACCACUACUGCUACCACUACUAUUACUACUACUACUACUACUACUACUACUACUACUACUACUACCACCACUACUACUGCCACUAGUACAACUGCUACUACUGCUACUACUACUACUGAUACUGCUACUACUACUGAUGCUACUACGACUGAUAUUACUACUACUACUGAUACUUCUAUUACUACUAUUACUACCUGUACCACAGGGGUCUCCAACAGGUCGAUCAUGAGCUACCAGUAUCUCGCCAAACAAUUCUGAAAGUACUUGCCGUUUUCACGUGUUCCACCACAAACUGUCAUUAACAAAUCUCACAAGUAUCAGACAGCGCAAGCUACUAUCUCAUCAACUCUACAUUGACAUUAUCCCACCUCUGGUUAGCCACAAUUGGCUUAAGAAGCCAAACCUAACACAUUGUCUGGCAAUUAAUUUCCAGCAAUAUUACUUCAACUAAUACUACUACCACUACUACUACCACUACUACUACUACUACUGCUGCUACUAUCAUUGCUACUGCUACUACUACUACUACUACUAGGUGGAAUCCUCUUAGUUUUUAAACUAAAAUCACUAUGUUUGCCAGGGUCCAGCAGAAGAGACCAGACUCACCUGAACCCAGCUGUGUAUCCAUGAAGAGUGACUCAUCUAUGGAGCAGCCAAUCAAAUUCAGAAAAGGAGCUUGUACCAUUGAUCCAGGUGGAUGGUCUACUCUGCAAGAGGAUCAGUCCAGGUGUGCAGUGUGUCAGCAGGUGCUGAGGAAUCCCGUCUCUAUCACCUGUGGACACAAGUUCUGCAGACAGUGUAUCACCAGAUACUGGGAGCAACCUGCUCCUUCAGGAGACUAUGACUGUCCUCAGUGUAGAAAGAGAUCCAGAACACUUCCUGUACUACAGCACCUGAGGGAACCCAAUGAUGCAAGAGGCUCUGAAAACAUGGAUGACAGCCUGCAGAGAGCUAUAAUAAACCACAAAGACAGUCUGAAAAGGAGGUAUGAAUGUGUGAUAGAAGGCAUGGAAAAAGCAGGGAAUCAAACUCCCCUCAACAGGAUUUACACAGAGCUCUACAUCACAGAAGGAGAGAGUGAAGGGGUUAACAAUGAACAUGAGGUGUGGCAGCUAGAGACCGCACCCAGGACACAAACCUCACAUGACACAGCAGUCCACUGCAAUGACAUAUUUAAACCCUUACUUGGCCAAGAGAGAAGCAUCAGAACUGUGCUGACGAAGGGUAUCUCUGGCAUCGGAAAAACAGUCUCUGUGCAGAAGUUCAUCCUAGACUGGGCUGAAGGGAAGGCAAACCAAGAUGUGGAUAUCAUAUUUGUGCUUCCUUUCCGGGAGCUGAACUUGAUUAAAGAUCGGCUGUACAGUCUUCUCAGACUUUUAAAUGACUUCCACACAGAACUAGACAUAGAUAAUGCAAAGAAACUCACUGCCUGUAAAGCUAUGUUCAUCUUGGAUGGUUUGGAUGAAAGCAGACUUUCAUUGGAUUUCCAGCACAUUGAAAGGGUGUCUGAUGUCACACAGGCAUCGUCUGUUGAUGUUCUGCUAACAAAUCUCAUCGAGGGAAAUCUGCUUCCCUCUGCUGUCCUUUGGAUAACUACUCGACCUGCAGCAGCCAAUCAGAUCCCUUCAGGGUGUGUUGACCAGGUGACAGAGGUACGAGGGUUCAAUGACCCACAGAAGGAGGAGUACUUCAGGAAGAGAUUCAGUGAUGAGGACCUGGCCAGCAGAAUCAUCUCACACAAAGACAUCAAGGAGCCUCCACAUCAUGUGCCACAUUCCAGUCUUCUGUUGGAUUUCUGCAACAGUCCUUGAACACAUGUUGAGGACAGACAAGAGGAGAGAGAUGCCCACGACUCUGACUGAGAUGUCCAUACACUUCCUGCUCAUUCAGACCAGCCUGAAGAACCAGAAGUAUCAUGGACGAGAUGAGAUGGGUCAAGAGGAGCUCAUGGAGUCAGAUAAGGACAUUCUUUUGAAGCUGGGGAAGCUGGCGUUUGAAAAUCUGGAGAAGGGUAAUCUCAUGUUCUAUGAAGAAGACCUGAAAGAGUAUGGCAUUGAUGUCAAAGAAGCCUCAGUGUACUCAGGAGUGUGCACACAAAUCGUUAAAGAAGAGUCUGUGUUAUUUCAGAGAGUGGUGUACUGCUUUAUUCAUCUGAGCAUUCAGGAGUUUCUCUCAGCUGUCUACAUUUACCAUUGUUACACAACCAAGAACAUGGAUGCACUGAAGCCCUUCCUCAAGAGAAAGUCUGGAGCUGUGUCUGAAGAGCUAACCUUGCAUGAGCUGCUGAAGAGUGCCGUGGAUGACGCCUUGGAGAGUAAGAAUGGACACCUGGACCUUUUUGUCCGCUUCCUUCAUGGCAUGUCACUGGAGUCCAAUCAGAAACUCUUACGACGUCUGGUGACACAGACAGAAUGCAGUCCAGAGAGCAUCCAGAAAACAAUCCGAUCCCUUAAGGUGAUGCAGAGGAAGAACAUCUCCCCUGAGAGGUGCAUCAAUCUCUUCCACUGUCUGAUAGAGAUGAAAGACCAUUCAGUACAGGAGGAAAUCCAAGGGUACUUGAGAUCAGAGGACAGAUCCAAAAACCUCUCCCAUACUCAGUGUUCAGCGCUGGCCUACAUGCUGCAGAUAUCAGAGGAGGUUCUGGAUGUGCUUGACCUGAAGGAAUACAAGACAUCAGAGGAGGGUCGUAGGAGACUGCUGCCAGCUGUGAGAGGCUGCAGGAAAGCUCUACUCACUGACUGUGAACUCACGGACACAUCCUGUGAAAUGUUGGUCCCAGCUCUCAGUUCAAACUCCUCACACAUGAGAGAGCUGGAUCUGAGUAACAAUGACCUGAAGGAUUCAGGAGUGAAGCUGCUCUCUGCUGGACUGGGGAAUCCCCACUGUAAACUGGAGACUCUGAGACUCACUGACUGUGAACUCACGGACACAUCCUGUGAAGUGUUGGCCUCAGCUCUCAGUUCAAACACCUCACACCUGAGAGAGCUGGAUCUGAGUAACAAUGACCUGAAGGAUUCAGGAGUGAAGCAUCUCUCUGCUGGACUGGGGAACCCAAACUGUAAACUGGAGACUCUGAGACUCGCUGGCUGUAAACUCACAGACACGUCCUGUGAAGUUUUGACCUCAGUUCUCAGCUCAAACUCCUCACACCUGAGAGAGCUAAAUCUGAGUAACAAUGACCUGAUGGAUUCAGGAGUGAAGCGACUCUCUGCUGGACUGGGGAAUCCCCACUGUAAACUGGAGACUCUGAGGUUGUCGCUCUGUGGAGUUGAAGAGGAAGGCUGUGCUUCUCUGGUCUCAGCUCUGAGGUCAAACCCCACACACCUGAGAGAGCUGGACCUGAGUAACAAUCGCCCAGGAGACUCAGGAGUCAGACUGCUCUCUGCUGGACUGGAGGAUCCACACUGGAGACUGGAGAAACUCAAUGUGGAACCUGGUGGAGUGGAAACAAUCAAACCUUGGCCUAGAAAAUAUGCCUGUGAUCUCACACUGGACCCAAAUACAGCAAACCAACAGCUCUCUCUGUCUGAGGACAACAGAAAGGCGACACGUAGGAGAGACAAGCAGCUGUAUCCUGAUUACCCAGAGAGAUUUGAGAUCUGGAAACAGGUGCUGUGUAGAGAGGGUCUGACUGGGCGCUGUUACUGGGAGGUAGAGUGGAGUGGGAGAGGGGCUUACAUAGCAGUGACAUAUAAAGGAAUCAGCAGGAAAGGAGUAGGUAAUGACUGUGUGAUUGGAUUAAAUGAGAAGUCCUGGAGUCUGCUCUGCUGUGACAACAGUUACACUGCAUGGCACAAUAAUAACUCGAAUACCAUAGCCGUCCCCUCUUCCAGCUCCCACAGAGUAGGAGUGUAUCUGGACUGGCCAGCCGGCACUCUGUCCUUCUACAGAGUCUCCUCUGACACACUGACCCAGCUGUACACAUUCCACACUACAUUCACUGAGCCCCUCUAUCCAGGGUUUAGGUUUUACUAUGACACCUCAGUGUCCCUGUGUCAGGUGUAGGGCUGACCCCAUUUAGUCGACUGGUCGAUAGGCUGUUGGUCAGCCAAGAUUUAUUUAGUCAAGCAGUGGCAAAUAUAUGUAAAAUGUUACGGCACGUGAGACAGCUGUUUGAUUCACACCUGUCUGCGUGGACUUAUCCAUUGUGGAUGCCGCAGGGAUGGAACACCAGUUUAUUUUAAUGUUUUAUUUCACCUUUAUUUAACCAGCUAGGCCAGUUGAGAACAAGUUCUCAUUUAGAACUGCGACCUGGCCAAGAUAAAGCAAAGCAGUGCGACAGAAACAACAACACAGAGUUACACAUAAACAAACGUACAGUCAAUAACAACUUCCCUGUAGCUCAGUUGGUAGAGCAUGGUGUUUGCAACGCCAGGGUUGUGGGUUCGAUUCCCACAGGGGGCCAGCACAAAAAAAAAAAUAAUCAAAAA